RNAcentral lists this ribosomal RNA (1214 nucleotides) under Escherichia coli. RNAcentral describes it as "partial 23S ribosomal RNA". It matches the Rfam family "Bacterial large subunit ribosomal RNA", at positions 1 to 1248 of the family's 2925-position model. The record is from RNAcentral. Lineage: Bacteria; Pseudomonadati; Pseudomonadota; Gammaproteobacteria; Enterobacterales; Enterobacteriaceae.
GGGUUGUGAGGUUAAGCGACUAAGCGUACACGGUGGAUGCCCUGGCAGUCAGAGGCGAUGAAGGACGUGCUAAUCUGCGAUAAGCGUCGGUGAGGUGAUAUGAACCGUUAUAACCGGCGAUUUCCGAAUGGGGAAACCCAGUGUGUUUCGACACACUAUCAUUAACUGAAUCCAUAGGUUAAUGAGGCGAACCGGGGGAACUGAAACAUCUAAGUACCCCGAGGAAAAGAAAUCAACCGAGAUUCCCCCAGUAGCGGCGAGCGAACGGGGAGGAGCCCAGAGCCUGAAUCAGUGUGUGUGUUAGUGGAAGCGUCUGGAAAGGCGUGCGAUACAGGGUGACAGCCCCGUACACAAAAAUGCACAUAUUGUGAGCUCGAUGAGUAGGGCGGGACACGUGGUAUCCUGUCUGAAUAUGGGGGGACCAUCCUCCAAGGCUAAAUACUCCUGACUGACCGAUAGUGAACCAGUACCGUGAGGGAAAGGCGAAAAGAACCCCGGCGAGGGGAGUGAAAAAGAACCUGAAACCGUGUACGUACAAGCAGUGGGAGCCUCUUAAUGGGGUGACUGCGUACCUUUUGUAUAAUGGGUCAGCGACUUAUAUUCUGUAGCAAGGUUAACCGAAUAGGGGAGCCGAAGGGAAACCGAGUCUUAACUGGGCGUUAAGUUGCAGGGUAUAGACCCGAAACCCGGUGAUCUAGCCAUGGGCAGGUUGAAGGUUGGGUAACACUAACUGGAGGACCGAACCGACUAAUGUUGAAAAAUUAGCGGAUGACUUGUGGCUGGGGGUGAAAGGCCAAUCAAACCGGGAGAUAGCUGGUUCUCCCCGAAAGCUAUUUAGGUAGCGCCUCGUGAAUUCAUCUCCGGGGGUAGAGCACUGUUUCGGCAAGGGGGUCAUCCCGACUUACCAACCCGAUGCAAACUGCGAAUACCGGAGAAUGUUAUCACGGGAGACACACGGCGGGUGCUAACGUCCGUCGUGAAGAGGGAAACAACCCAGACCGCCAGCUAAGGUCCCAAAGUCAUGGUUAAGUGGGAAACGAUGUGGGAAGGCCCAGACAGCCAGGAUGUUGGCUUAGAAGCAGCCAUCAUUUAAAGAAAGCGUAAUAGCUCACUGGUCGAGUCGGCCUGCGCGGAAGAUGUAACGGGGCUAAACCAUGCACCGAAGCUGCGGCAGCGACACUAUGUGUUGUUGGGUAGGGGAGCGUUCUGUAAGC